This 19-nucleotide small nuclear RNA is filed under the name Arabidopsis thaliana (thale cress). RNAcentral's name for it is "snRNA_07240". Lineage: Eukaryota; Viridiplantae; Streptophyta; Magnoliopsida; Brassicales; Brassicaceae. The record is from RNAcentral.
UUUUAUGGAAUUUUAAAAG